This 41-nucleotide non-coding RNA is filed under the name Alexandrium minutum. Lineage: Eukaryota; Dinophyceae; Gonyaulacales; Pyrocystaceae. The record is from RNAcentral.
UUUUUUUUUUUUUUUUUUUUUUUUUUUUUUUUUUUUUUUUU